This 307-nucleotide long non-coding RNA is filed under the name Lonchura striata (white-rumped munia). Its description in RNAcentral is "domestica (Bengalese finch) lncRNA (ENSLSDG00000008925.1)". The record is from RNAcentral. Lineage: Eukaryota; Metazoa; Chordata; Aves; Passeriformes; Estrildidae.
CGCUGCCGCUGCCGGGCGGCACCAGCGAGGGAGCAAAAAACCCAUUUCAGGCACAAGGAGAAUGAGGGCACGGAGUCCCACCGGGCUCACGUGGGCACCGGCAUCGCCUUUCCGCAGGAGAGGCUGGAGCAUCCCCCGCCCGCCGAGCGCAGGGGCAGCUCCGCCGGGCAGCCCCGGCCGGCGCACCCAGGGGCGCGGCGAUGGCAGCACGGGCACCCCGCACGCCGGAGGAGGACGAGGACGAUGCCAAAACCGGAUCCUCCUAGCGUGGGAAAGGCGCGGGCAGGCGGCGUCGGCCGCGGGGAUU